This is a long non-coding RNA of Cynoglossus semilaevis (tongue sole), 291 nucleotides long. RefSeq lists it as uncharacterized. NCBI's taxonomy places the organism in Eukaryota, Metazoa, Chordata, Actinopteri, Pleuronectiformes, Cynoglossidae. The record is from RefSeq and is a predicted model, not a curated record. The transcript is spliced from 2 exons.
UUGUGGGGAACGAGACUCACCUGAGCGACAGCGGGGUCCAGGUUGUUCAUGAUCAUUACCAUUAUAGCUGCUGCCUGGCGUGUGACGCAUGGAUACUGAUCUAUGGGAUAAGCCCUGGGGAGACAGCAUGUUUAUGGUUGGGGGUCCUGAUUGGUGCGUGUGGAACACCGGGAUCUCGCCCUGGGUUGGAUGGCAACGGAUCUAGAGGUAAACCGCUGCAGAUCUCCUUUAAAUCAGACAUUCUGUUGGAUUUUCCCUCUACAACAACGGUAGAACAGCAGACUGAGACGU